Molecule: ribosomal RNA, 497 nt
Filed under: uncultured bacterium
Lineage: Bacteria
Description: partial 16S ribosomal RNA
Rfam family: Bacterial small subunit ribosomal RNA
Source: RNAcentral
GAUGAACGCUGGCGGCGUGCCUAAUACAUGCAAGUCGAGCGAACGGACGAGAAGCUUGCUUCUCUGAUGUUAGCGGCGGACGGGUGAGUAACACGUGGAUAACCUACCUAUAAGACUGGGAUAACUUCGGGAAACCGUAGCUAAUACCGGAUAAUAUUUUGAACCUCAUGGUUCAAAAGUGAAAGACGGUCUUGCUGUCACUUAUAGAUGGAUCCGCGCUGCAUUAGCUAGUUGGUAAGGUAACGGCUUACCAAGGCAACGAUGCAUAGCCGACCUGAGAGGGUGAUCGGCCACACUGGAACUGAGACACGGUCCAGACUCCUACGGGAGGCAGCAGUAGGGAAUCUUCCGCAAUGGGCGAAAGCCUGACGGAGCAACGCCGCGUGAGUGAUGAAGGUCUUCGGAUCGUAAAACCCUGUUAUUAGGGAAGAACAUAUGUGUAAGUAACUGUGCACAUCUUGACGGUACCUAAUCAGAAAGCCACGGCUAACUACGUG